Molecule: unclassified non-coding RNA, 432 nt
Filed under: soil metagenome
Description: partial contains 5.8S ribosomal RNA, internal transcribed spacer 2, and large subunit ribosomal RNA
Rfam family: 5.8S ribosomal RNA (bases 1-120)
Source: RNAcentral
GAUGAAGAACGUAGCGAAAUGCGAUACGUAAUGUGAAUUGUAGAAUUCAGUGAAUCAUCGAAUCUUUGAACGCAUAUUGCGCUCUCUGGUAUUCCGGAGAGCAUGCUUGUUUGAGUAUCAGUAAACACCUCAACUUCCAUAUCUUUUUUGAAAUGGGAGUUGGACUUGAGUGAUCCCAACGCUUUUCCUCACCGAAAAGUGGCGGGUUACUUGAAAUGCAGGUGCAGCUGGACUUUUCUCUGAGCUAUAAGCAUAUCUAUUUAGUCUGCCUAAAAAACAGAUUAUUACCUUUGCUGCAGCUAACAUAAAGGAGAUUAGUUCUUGUGCUGACUGAUGCAGGAUUCACAAAGACGGCUUCGGCCGACUUUGUAAACUCGAUCUCAAAUCAAGUAAGACUACCCGCUGAACUUAAGCAUAUCAAUAAGCGGAGGA